UGCUCUUCUUGGGACAUUUGGAGAUGCUC
Molecule: non-coding RNA, 29 nt
Filed under: Rattus norvegicus (Norway rat)
Lineage: Eukaryota; Metazoa; Chordata; Mammalia; Rodentia; Muridae
Source: RNAcentral